CUACAUGAACUCUGCCUGCCUGCACUGUGGCGCUGUUGGUUCCAUUUUAUAGGCAUUGCAAGAUGCCUUGAUGAAGAAGUCAUGCUGUCCUGGCUUUUCAAGUGAAACAUUUGAAUUGCUAAGCUGACCACCAACAGCUGUACUUUCUGCAUGGAUGGCUAGCACAGGAGGAGAUAAAACUGCUGGCAAAUCCAGUCCACUCUUGGAAAGCACAAGAAUGACCAUGGUGAGAUUAUCACUGUUAACCCUUUUAUCACUGGAAGUGAUAAAGUUUUGCUGGAUUGGACAAUUCAAUGGAAAACUACUGGAUAACUGAAAGCGAGUAUUCUGCUUCAUGACAAGACAUUUACAGGCCCAGAGUGCAUACUUUCCUGGUCAGAGGAACAUGUGUUGUGCCUUGAAGAACAAAUCAGAUGGGAAAGAAGUGGAGCUGCGCAAUAAAAGCACCACAACGAUAAUCAUUCUGUUGUAUAGCAGCUCAAAGAAAUGCGUUGACAAAUCUGUGGCAACACGUGACUCUGAACAAACAAGGUUUCACAAGUGAAGACUGUGUGCUGUUUGAGCAAGGUAAUCUUUUAGUGCAUCAGAAGAGUGAUUCUACAGAUAUUAGAAAUAUGGGUACACAAUGCAUGCAUUGAGGCACAUUUAUGAUUAUCAAUUUUGUUAUGUUUAAUUAAGGAAAAUUCCUAAAAAAGUUCUAGUCUUUAAGAAAUGACGCAUUAUCUAGAAAAUAGUUCUUCAGUGCUUGGUAGGUGGUGCUUAAAUGUGCAUUUUUUUUUCUGCAUGCAAUAUAAUUGAAUGCAUAAUUUUGUGAAAAGUUUUUUUAAAAGCAGAAAUAAACAUUCUGGUCUGCCUAGCUUGUGCCUAAAUUUUGUUUGCCUACAGUACCAGAAAUCCUAAGCACCAAUUAAUGUAAAGAGGUCCAUUUCUUCUCCUGGUACACAGAAAAAUAAAAUAAAUUCUAAAGCUAAUUAAUCAGUUGAAAGUAGUGAUCACAUCUUUAAGUAGUAAUGCUUUGGCAAGAGGAACACUUUCAC
This is a long non-coding RNA of Zonotrichia albicollis (white-throated sparrow), 1037 nucleotides long. RefSeq lists it as uncharacterized. Lineage: Eukaryota; Metazoa; Chordata; Aves; Passeriformes; Passerellidae. The record is from RefSeq and is a predicted model, not a curated record.